This 420-nucleotide ribosomal RNA is filed under the name uncultured bacterium. Its description in RNAcentral is "bacterial SSU rRNA". It matches the Rfam family "Bacterial small subunit ribosomal RNA", at positions 356 to 773 of the family's 1533-position model. The record is from RNAcentral.
GGGGAAUAUUGGACAAUGGGCGCAAGCCUGAUCCAGCCACGCCGCGUGAGUGAUGAAGGCCUUCGGGUCGUAAAGCUCUGUGGGGAGGGACGAACGGCGCCAUGAAGAGUGGCGAUUGACGGUACCUCCUUAGCAAGCACCGGCUAACUUCGUGCCAGCAGCCGCGGUAAUACGAAGGGUGCAAACGUUGCUCGGAAUCAUUGGGCGUAAAGCGCACGUAGGCGGCUUUCUAAGUCGGAUGUGAAAUCCCUCGGCUUAACCGAGGACGUGCAUCCGAAACUGGGAGGCGUGAGUAUGGAAGAGGGUCGCAGAAUUCCCGGUGUAGAGGUGAAAUUCGUAGAUAUCGGGAGGAAUACCAGUGGCGAAGGCGGCGACCUGGGCCAAUACUGACGCUGAGGUGCGAAAGCGUGGGGAGCAAAC